UGUUAUUUUCUCCCCUGUUCUAACAUGUAAAACUCAGCAGCAGAAGUGCUAAUUGUACUUGUUACCAGCUUUUCCUCAUAGAAGGCAGGCAGGGAAGGAACUCAGCUCUUUCUUUAAAAAUAUUUCAGGUAGUCAGUCAUCUCCUUGCUGAAAUGGGAUUCCUAUAUUGUCCUCUGUGGUCUUCUCCUGGAUCUCUUCAAGAAGAUAAAGGCAUAAGUUCAAACAUGCGCUCUGCAAUGUCUCUCUCCUGUGCUUCCUAAUCAGUCUGAAAUCUGAAGGUAGGCACCGAUGGAAAAACAUUGAAUAAUCAUGCGGUAUUCACCUUUGCACCACAGGCAACUACCAUAUUCAUCCUGCCAUCUCUCCCACAGACUGGAGAGCUAAUUCCACUCCACAGACCUCCUCUUCAUACAAAAGAUACUUACUUACAUCUUUAAGCAUGUUGUUGUCUCUCUCUGUACCCUCAUGAGGGACACUUUUGAAAGCCCUUUGGAAAUCCAAAUGAUCUACUUGAAUCACCUUGUCCUCAUAUUCACUAAUUCCCCUGAAGAACAUGAACAGAUAAGCAUCCACUAGUUUAUUCCUUUGUAGUUGGCAGCAGAGAAUACAGAAAUGCCAUAAAUGUGACAUACGCCUGUUCUCAUAAUUGUCAGACUUCAUCAUACUUCAUACUGCAUACUUCAAUUUUCAUUGCUCCCACCAGAUAUAUUACUGAAAAAACCUGAUAGUCAUCAGUGAACCUCAACAGGGAACGCUGACUGUUUCUGUAUACAAUCCUGCAAGUUCAUCACUCCACAACUCUGUAACACCACACAGGAUGUACAGGAGACCAACCCGAAAAGUAUGGGAGAGAAAGGAGACUUUGGAAAGCAAGAGGAAAAAAGAAGGGUGAGAGGACCAAAGAAAGGAAGAGCAAAGAAAAAAAACUUCAGCAUUGGAAAGGAGUAAAAUACUUACUUUUUUUUAAGAACAUAAAAAAUUAGGAGUAAGAGAGAAGGCAAUGAAGUGAUAGGAGACAAGUAAAUUAUAUGAUAGUUAAGCAAGAGAAAUGCUAAAAAAUGUCAAAAAAGAGGAGGUGGAGACAUUAGUGUUUAUGUAAAUCAAUAUGCAAAUUGGUUGCAGCCUCCAGGUGCCUGGAAAUCUGCCAGGGCAGCACUCAGUAUUCCAAAGUUUGGUCUCUCUAGCUGCAACAUUUCACUCAAAGUUGAGGUACUGGAGUUGAAGCUAGAAGUGCAUAAGAAUGCAGUUUUAACCGAUACUAAUAAAGAUGACACAUUUCCUCCUUAGUUUUAAAACAAAAACUUGAUAAAACCUGAAAUGUUUAACAUAAAUCUGAAUCUUUACAUUUUUAAAGCACAUACAUAUGUUUGCGCACACAAUGGCUGAAUUCGAUAAGCCUUCUGUUAGUCACAGGAAACACUCAAGACACAUCUAAAUAUCAAAACAUAUAUAGUAAAAUACACUAGUUGUCAUGCCACUGCACCUCAAUUUUGUGUGUUCACAAACUCCGCAGAAACAUUUUCUUCUUUUUUUUGUAAAUUAAACCAAUGUUAAUUUCCAGGUUAACUAUUCUGCAUAAGAAAUACUGGAAGGGUGAUUUUAAAAAAAUAUUCUUUCCAUCUGUGAGAGCAUUGAGUUUCACCUACUGUUCCGAUUAAAAUAUAAGCUUGAGUAAACAGUCAGAACUAGAUCCAGAGACAGACAUUGGUAUUGCAACAUUCAGCAUUAUAACACCUAACUGUGAGGCACUUGGCUCUUGGAAUGGAAUCUACGGCCCUGAGUUAUUGCUUCGUCUUUUUAUACACUAGAUAGAGGAGCUGAGUGCCUCCAAAAGAGAUUCGCAACUGCCAGCAGAGUGACUUGGGCUGCCAGAGCUAUCCAAAACCCACAACCCUAGUUACACCUAACUUUGGAUUGCAAGAGGCAGCCGUGUGUGAUAAGGUUUCACACUCUGGAACAGUCUCUUUGAGUUAGACACCUUCAGUUGUUCAUGACAGAGAGCAGAGGUCACUUUUACAUAAAUACCACAAUGGUGGGGGAGGUUAUAAAGCAGAUUUCACCAUUUCUGGGAGAACACUGCACUAAAGGCUAUUGUGGUGUAGAAAAACUCCAUCCCUGUUACAAAAGCUGUGGUGUUUUUAAACAACUGCCUCAGUGAUUUUGGAAAGGAAAAAAAAUCAAGGUCUCAGACUAAACUUUUCAUUUCUUCCAGUUACAAGUGUUACGUUCUUGCUUUGGCUUCAGACCAUCCUCAGCUGCCAUAUUUUGGGCAGAGAUCUCUCCUGUUACUGUAUUCAGUGCUAUUAUUCCGACUAUAGGAGAUACCUCAGAGGAGACAGGAAGAAAGAGAGCUUGCCUGAGGUUCCUGAAGGUCUCGUGAGAGAGAAUUGCUGGGUUUCCUAAUCAUAUCAAAAUAGCUGCAGUAUGCAGAAUUUGCAGAAGCUAAAUUGAAGUUCUUAAGGAAUUUUGUUAAUGAAAACUUGGGAUGGUUCAUAUGGGAAGGACAGAGGGGUGAAUAUUGUGUUCCUAGACCUAGGUAUGUUACACCAGUAUCUCAGUUUAGAAGCCAAGUUCCGUUGUAAAUGUGCGCCUAAGUUUCUCAUUUCUUUCUAAAAGCAGAACUAAAUAUUGCAAAAUUUAUGUAUCCAGCUACAUCGGAUACUGAAGCUACUACUACAGAAAAUACUAUGCACAUUUCAUACAUACAAAACUAUGCUACUUUAAGUAAAAAUGAAAUAAUAAUUUAGGAAAGGCAGCACCCACUGAAAAAUUUCGUGCAUCUCAAUUAUGGCAAAGUUAUGGAUGCAACCUAAGUGGAUAUUAAACUAAUAAAGAUGUUUCCAGAAAGGCUUACUUUGUUUAAAAAACAAAAACAAAGAAACUUAGUUUAAUUGGUACAAUUUUUCUGUAGAUCAAAACCUUAAUUCUGUAAUUUUCUGAACAACAAAAUUCAUCACUAAUUCAGCAGAGGUAUAAAGAUCCUACACUGAACAAAUCAAUAUUUUACUUGAAUCUGCAUAUUGAAAGGACAAAAUAUAGCAUGUCCAAAGAGAUGGUAUAACUAACUUGUUAAUAUAAAUGCCAAAAUUCAGUAUUUCCCUCUUAUAGGCUGGAUUUGCCAAGAAAUAUAAAUUGAACAAUACAGAAGCAAAAAUUAAAGCAACAUCAGGCUCUCCUGAAUUUCAUAUUCUUCACAACACAUUACAGAAUGCUAUUGACAACUGCCCAGUAAUUUGUAUACCCAAGGCAUGUACAGUGAUCCUAUUCAUUUCUUAAUGAAUACAAUUUAUUUUUUAACACAACCAAAACUAUUUUAAGUUCAGAAAUAACCUUUAACAGAAAAAGCUCAAUUUCAUUUCAAGUUAAAUGGUUUAGCUUUUUAAUUGUAAAAGUUCAUGCACUUUUCCUCUUUUUAUGGGUGCAUAACAUUAACCAUCUAAUAACUUUGUACAAUUUAGUUUGAUUGAGACACUUUAGCCCCUAGUUACCCUGGACUAAAAACAGUUGAAAGCUGUAGACCACUGGAAAAACUUCUGAAGAAGUAUAUUAUUCCUACCUUUAAUUCAGUGCUAUUAACUCCCCACAUCUACAACACUAAAUGUCAUGCCAAAUUCUUUAAGGAAAAUGAAACUGAUAUGGAAGUGCUGAGAAAAUUUCAUACAAAUGCAUAAAAGGACUUUGGAACAUUCAGAAGUUGAGAUUCUGGGAUAGUGCUGGUGAUAUACCAUGAUUCUGUGAGAAAAUACAAGUCUAAAUUUCUAUAGACACUAAAAACCCAAAUAACUUUACAGAUACAGUCCCUCUGAUUCAUCUUUAGCAUUAAAAUAUUAAGUAAUGAUAUGGGCAUUUCUAGUAUCUUUUUCUCAAACCCAAAUAAUCAUCGAGUGUAAAUGCUUAGACUUUCCAUAUUGUACUUGGGAAGAGUUAGGUAUAAUCCACGCCACAACAUAAUGAACACUCAAGCCCUACAUGCUGAACUGGCAGACACUUAAUUUUAGCUUUUCUGAUUGUCAUCCACAGGUGUUGUGAUAGUCCUUCCUUAACUAGUAUUCAGGUGCUCAUGCCAAAGCUUCAAGCAAAAGUCACACUGCCAGCCAGCUGGGACCUUCAGCCUCUCAAAGAUAAAGUAAUCAUACUAAUUUUCCUUCAAGACCUGAGCAGGGCUCAGUUCUCAUUAAAAAUGCAGAUGCUUGCAGAAAUAUUACAAAAGUAAUGCUAAGAGGUUGGAACACUUUUCCAGGAAGUAAAAGGUCUGGAUUCAAAGCCUUCCUCACCCUCAGAAAUACAACCUCCUCCCUCCCCCAAUCCCACCCCAAAAAUUCUCCACUUCUUCAAGCAGAGCACUAAUGGUCUAAAAUUUUGUGCAGUAGAGCAGAAAUUCUUUAUCCUGUACUUUUUUUUUUUUUUUUUUUAAGUACUUUGAGAUCAAGAUUGUAUAUAGAAAACUGAACCCAUCACACGUAAUACAUACCAUUUU
Dromaius novaehollandiae (emu) is the source of this 4477-nucleotide long non-coding RNA. RefSeq lists it as uncharacterized. Lineage: Eukaryota; Metazoa; Chordata; Aves; Casuariiformes; Dromaiidae. The record is from RefSeq and is a predicted model, not a curated record. The transcript has 3 exons.